This 243-nucleotide ribosomal RNA is filed under the name uncultured Actinomycetales bacterium. RNAcentral describes it as "partial 16S ribosomal RNA". It matches the Rfam family "Bacterial small subunit ribosomal RNA", at positions 88 to 334 of the family's 1533-position model. Lineage: Bacteria; Bacillati; Actinomycetota; Actinomycetes; Actinomycetales. The record is from RNAcentral.
UACUCGAGUGGCGAACGGGUGAGUAACACGUGGGUGAUCUGCCCUGCACUUCGGGAUAAGCCUGGGAAACUGGGUCUAAUACCGGAUAGGAGCCAUUUUUAGUGUGAUGGUUGGAAAGUUUUUUCGGUGUAGGAUGAGCUCGCGGCCUAUCAGCUUGUUGGUGGGGUAAUGGCCUACCAAGGCGGCGACGGGUAGCCGGCCUUAGAGGGUGGACGGCCACAUUGGGACUGAGAUACGGCCCAG